Molecule: ribosomal RNA, 112 nt
Filed under: Lepisosteus oculatus (spotted gar)
Lineage: Eukaryota; Metazoa; Chordata; Actinopteri; Semionotiformes; Lepisosteidae
Source: RNAcentral
GCCAGCAGCCAUAUCACCCUAUAACUGGCAACCCACUGCUGCUAAGCAGGUGUGAGCCUGGUCAGUACCUGGAUGGGAGACCUCCUGGGGAAAACUAAGGUUGCUGCUGGAA